GAUGAACGCUAGCUACAGGCUUAACACAUGCAAGUCGAGGGGCAGCAUGGUCUUAGCUUGCUAAGGCCGAUGGCGACCGGCGCACGGGUGAGUAACACGUAUCCAACCUGCCGUCUACUCUUGGACAGCCUUCUGAAAGGAAGAUUAAUACAAGAUGGCAUCAUGAGUCCGCAUGUUCACAUGAUUAAAGGUAUUCCGGUAGACGAUGGGGAUGCGUUCCAUUAGAUAGUAGGCGGGGUAACGGCCCACCUAGUCUUCGAUGGAUAGGGGUUCUGAGAGGAAGGUCCCCCACAUUGGAACUGAGACACGGUCCAAACUCCUACGGGAGGCAGCAGUGAGGAAUAUUGGUCAAUGGGCGCAGGCCUGAACCAGCCAAGUAGCGUGAAGGAUGACUGCCCUAUGGGUUGUAAACUUCUUCUAUAAAGGAAUAAAGUCGGGUAUGUAUACCCGUUUGCAUGUACUUGAUGAAUAAGGAUCGGCUAACUCCGUG
RNAcentral lists this ribosomal RNA (490 nucleotides) under uncultured bacterium. RNAcentral describes it as "partial 16S ribosomal RNA". It matches the Rfam family "Bacterial small subunit ribosomal RNA", at positions 28 to 507 of the family's 1533-position model. The record is from RNAcentral.